RNAcentral lists this ribosomal RNA (464 nucleotides) under uncultured Propionivibrio sp. RNAcentral describes it as "bacterial SSU rRNA". It matches the Rfam family "Bacterial small subunit ribosomal RNA", at positions 919 to 1382 of the family's 1533-position model. The record is from RNAcentral. Lineage: Bacteria; Pseudomonadati; Pseudomonadota; Betaproteobacteria; Rhodocyclales; Rhodocyclaceae.
ACCCGCACAAGCGGUGGAUGAUGUGGAUUAAUUCGAUGCAACGCGAAAAACCUUACCUACCCUUGACAUGUCCGGAAUCCCGAAGAGAUUUGGGAGUGCUCGCAAGAGAGCCGGAACACAGGUGCUGCAUGGCUGUCGUCAGCUCGUGUCGUGAGAUGUUGGGUUAAGUCCCGCAACGAGCGCAACCCUUGUCAUUAGUUGCCAUCAUUUGGUUGGGCACUCUAAUGAGACUGCCGGUGACAAACCGGAGGAAGGUGGGGAUGACGUCAAGUCCUCAUGGCCCUUAUGGGUAGGGCUUCACACGUCAUACAAUGGUCGGUACAGAGGGUUGCCAACCCGCGAGGUGGAGCAAAUCGCAGAAAGCCGGCCUUAGUUCGGAUUGGAGUCUGAAACUCGACUCCAUGAAGGUGGAAUCGCUAGUAAUCGCGCAUCAGCAUGGCGCGGUGAAUAUGUUCCCGGGCCUU